CAGUCGCCGCGGGAAUACGAAGGGGGCUAGCGUUGUUCGGAAUCACUGGGCGUAAAGCGCACGUAGGCGGAUCAUUAAGUCAGGGGUGAAAUCCCGAGGCUCAACCUCGGAACUGCCUUUGAUACUGGUGAUCUUGAGUCCGGGAGAGGUGAGUGGAACUGCGAGUGUAGAGGUGAAAUUCGUAGAUAUUCGCAAGAACACCAGUGGCGAAGGCGGCUCACUGGCCCGGAACUGACGCUGAGGUGCGAAAGCGUGGGGAGCAAACAGGAUUAGAUACCCCUGUAGUCCCUGUCUCUUAACA
RNAcentral lists this ribosomal RNA (301 nucleotides) under uncultured bacterium. RNAcentral's name for it is "partial 16S ribosomal RNA". It matches the Rfam family "Bacterial small subunit ribosomal RNA", at positions 509 to 808 of the family's 1533-position model. The record is from RNAcentral.